RNAcentral lists this ribosomal RNA (425 nucleotides) under uncultured bacterium. RNAcentral's name for it is "partial 16S ribosomal RNA". It matches the Rfam family "Bacterial small subunit ribosomal RNA", at positions 354 to 796 of the family's 1533-position model. The record is from RNAcentral.
GUGGGGAAUCUUGCGCAAUGGGCGAAAGCCUGACGCAGCCAUGCCGCGUGAAUGAUGAAGGUCUUAGGAUUGUAAAAUUCUUUCACCGGGGACGAUAAUGACGGUACCCGGAGAAGAAGCCCCGGCUAACUUCGUGCCAGCAGCCGCGGUAAUACGAAGGGGGCUAGCGUUGCUCGGAAUUACUGGGCGUAAAGGGCGCGUAGGCGGACAGUUUAGUCAGAGGUGAAAGCCCAGGGCUCAACCUUGGAAUUGCCUUUGAUACUGGCUGUCUUGAGUUUGGGAGAGGUGAGUGGAACUCCGAGUGUAGAGGUGAAAUUCGUAGAUAUUCGGAGGAACACCAGUGGCGAAGGCGGCUCACUGGCUCGAUACUGACGCUGAGGUGCGAAAGCGUGGGGAGCAAACAGGAUUAGAAACCCUUGUAGUCC